This 445-nucleotide ribosomal RNA is filed under the name uncultured Bacteroidales bacterium. RNAcentral describes it as "bacterial SSU rRNA". It matches the Rfam family "Bacterial small subunit ribosomal RNA", at positions 48 to 485 of the family's 1533-position model. The record is from RNAcentral. Lineage: Bacteria; Pseudomonadati; Bacteroidota; Bacteroidia; Bacteroidales.
CUAACACAUGCAAGUCGAGGGGUAACAGGUGGGCUUGCUCCCGCUGACGACCGGCGCACGGGUGAGUAACACGUAUGCAACCUGCCUUCAACAAGGGGAUAACCCGUUGAAAAACGGACUAAUACCCUAUAAAACAGGGGUUCCGCAUGGGACUAUUUGUUAAAGAUUUAUCGGUUGAAGAUGGGCAUGCGUUCCAUUAGCUAGUUGGCGGGGUAACGGCCCACCAAGGCAACGAUGGAUAGGGGAACUGAGAGGUUUAUCCCCCACACUGGUACUGAGACACGGACCAGACUCCUACGGGAGGCAGCAGUGAGGAAUAUUGGUCAAUGGACGCAAGUCUGAACCAGCCACGUCGCGUGAAGGAAGACGGCCCCUAUGGGUUGUAAACUUCUUUUAUACGGGAAUAAAAGUGCACCACGUGUGGUGUUUUGCAUGUACCGUAUGA